GACGAACGCUGGCGGCGUGCCUAAUACAUGCAAGUCGAACGAGAGCGACCGGUGCUUGCACUGGUUAAUCUAGUGGCGAACGGGUGAGUAACACGCGGGUAACCUGCCCAUCAGAGGGGGAUAACAUCCGGAAACGGAUGCUAAAACCGCAUAGGUCUUCGAGCUGCAUGGCUUGAAGAGGAAAAGAGGCGCAAGCUUCUGCUGAUGGAUGGACCCGCGGUGCAUUAGCUAGUUGGUGAGGUAACGGCUCACCAAGGCCGUGAUGCAUAGCCGACCUGAGAGGGUGAUCGGCCACAUUGGGACUGAGACACGGCCCAAACUCCUACGGGAGGCAGCAGUAGGGAAUCUUCCGCAAUGGACGCAAGUCUGACGGAGCAACGCCGCGUGAGUGAAGAAGGUUUUCGGAUCGUAAAACUCUGUUGUUAGAGAAGAACAAGUGCUAGAGUAACUGUUAGCGCCUUGACGGUAUCUAACCAGAAAGCCACGGCUAACUACGUGCCAGCAGCCGCGGUAAUACGUAGGUGGCAAGCGUUGUCCGGAUUUAUUGGGCGUAAAGCGAGCGCAGGCGGUUCCUUAAGUCUGAUGUGAAAGCCCCCGGCUCAACCGGGGAGGGUCAUUGGAAACUGGGGAACUUGAGUGCAGAAGAGGAGAGUGGAAUUCCAUGUGUAGCGGUGAAAUGCGUAGAUAUAUGGAGGAACACCAGUGGCGAAGGCGACUCUCUGGUCUGUAACUGACGCUGAGGCUCGAAAGCGUGGGUAGCAAACAGG
RNAcentral lists this ribosomal RNA (767 nucleotides) under uncultured Granulicatella sp. RNAcentral describes it as "bacterial SSU rRNA". It matches the Rfam family "Bacterial small subunit ribosomal RNA", at positions 28 to 776 of the family's 1533-position model. The record is from RNAcentral. Lineage: Bacteria; Bacillati; Bacillota; Bacilli; Lactobacillales; Carnobacteriaceae.